UAUAGGAUUGGCUCGCGUGACAUUAGCCAGAUGGUGAGGUAACGGCUCACCAUAGCAAUGAUGUCUAGGGGUUUUGAGAGGAAGGCCCCCCACACUGGGACUGAGACACGGCCCAGACUCCUACGGGAGGCAGCAGUGAGGAAUAUUGGACAAUGGAUGGAAAUCUGAUCCAGCCAUGCCGCGUGCAGGAAGACGGCCUUAUGGGUUGUAAACUGCUUUUAUACGGGAGCAAUAAGGGUUACGAGUAAUCCGAUGAGAGUACUGUAUGAAUAAGGAUCGGCUAACUCCGUGCCAGCAGCCGCGGUAAUACGGAGGAUCCGAGCGUUAUCCGGAAUUAUUGGGUUUAAAGGGUGCGUAGGCGGCCAUUUAAGUCAGCGGUGAAAUUUUACAGCUUAACUGUAACAGUGCCGUUGAUACUGUUUGGCUAGGAUUUGGUUGUAGUGUGCGGAAUGUGUGGUGUAACGGUGAAAUGCUUAGAUAUCACACAGAACACCGAUUGCGAAGGCAGCACACUAAGUCAUUAUUGACGCUGAGGCACGAAAGUGUGGGGAUCAAACAGGAUUAGAUACCCUGGUAGUCCACGCAGUAAACUAUGAUUACUCGCCGUUUGCGAUACACCGUAAGCGGCUUAGCGAAAGCGUUAAGUAAUCCACCUGGGGAGUACGUUCGCAAGAAUGAAACUCAAAGGAAUUGACGGGGGCCCGCACAAGCGGAGGAACAUGUGGUUUAAUUCGAUGAUACGCGAGGAACCUUACCCGGGCUUGAAAUGCAUCUGACAGGAGCAGAGACGCUCUCUUCCUUCGGGACAGAUGUGUAGGUGCUGCAUGGUUGUCGUCAGCUCGUGCCGUGAGGUGUCGGCUUAAGUGCCAUAACGAGCGCAACCCUCAUCAUUAGUUACCAUCAGGUUAAGCUGGGACUCUAAUGAGACUGCCAUCGUAAGAUGCGAGGAAGGUGGGGAUGACGUCAAAUCAGCACGGCCCUUACGUCCGGGGCGACACACGUGUUACAAUGGGUGGUACAAAGGGCAGCUACAUGGCGACAUGAUGCUAAUCUCCAAAACCACUCUCAGUUCGGAUCGGAGUCUGCAACUCGACUUCGUGAAGCUAGAUUCGCUAGUAAUCGCGCAUCAGCCACGGCGCGGUGAAUACGUUCCCGGGCCUUGCACACACCGCCCGUCAAG
This 1180-nucleotide ribosomal RNA is filed under the name uncultured bacterium. Its description in RNAcentral is "bacterial SSU rRNA". It matches the Rfam family "Bacterial small subunit ribosomal RNA", at positions 219 to 1401 of the family's 1533-position model. The record is from RNAcentral.